GCUCGGGGCUGACUCCACGGGGACUAAACGAGCCUGCGUGGGCUGGAGGCAGCCCGAAAGCCACGAAACAGAAGUGUCUGGUUUUCCCGCAGGGGUCCGAUUUGCAACCGGUAAGGCCGGAGAUAUUGGGAAUUUGGAGCCGUUCCUACUUUAAAGCCUACGUCCAGAAGUCACCUUCGCCCCACAGUGUCUGCCCUCAUGUAAAUGGCCCUCCCAUCAGUUACCUCCCGUGAAUCAUAACGACAAACAAGAUCUUGUUAUUUUUCUAGAAUAUUCCAAAAAUGAGCAUCUGUGUUUGGAGCGAAUUCCAGCGGGGCCGAGCUUGUCUUCUCCGGCAUGAUGGCACCGCCAGGGCUCUGGGAGGAUCUCCGGGCCAGGCGCCGGCCUAGUGACUGGGGCUGGGAGGAGCUGGGGAGGCAUGGCCAUUGGCGUUUCUGCGUAGAACCGCAGCCCAGGGAUCCCGCAUCCGGCCCCGCAGCAGUCUCGGGUUCUCUGGCGCGCCCGCUCGCCUCUCGAGAACCUAGUCCCCGCGCAGGCCUCCCCACAUCGGAGCCGGGAACACCCUCCAGCACCGUCGCAGGACCCCGAGGGUCCUACCCAGUCAUUAGCAAGAGUCGAGGCUGGAUUUUCAGCGGCCGCCUGCGUUCAGUAUAAAUGGAACGUGCUAGGAAACUCCGAUAUGCAGCGAUUUUCUAAACAUCCCGUUAUCCCUGAAACCCGUGUGGCCACCGCCAUGAGUCAUGCAAGGACUGGGCGACAGAAGCUCUGAGCUUCUAUUUGUAAAACACAGAAUAAAUCGGGAGAGCUGAAUGAAGACAAAGCCAUUUUUAAACGUUCGAUCGGUGAGAUCUCCCCCACUUAGCAAACGCUUUCAUUUUCAGAGCUGCCUGUGGCCUUACGCAGGUUCAGAAAAUCGAUUGUAUUCCUGGGUGAAUUCCACCCAGGGAACCGAGUCCUGGGAAUGCGCGCCCAUGUACACAGAAAGCCCACAUUUUAGAAGGAAUGUAUGAGUGAAAAAGAAGCAAGUAUUCCGGA
Molecule: long non-coding RNA, 1035 nt
Filed under: Homo sapiens (human)
Lineage: Eukaryota; Metazoa; Chordata; Mammalia; Primates; Hominidae
Description: HSALNT0224356
Source: RNAcentral